UACUACAGUACUUCGCAUUACAAACCAAACAUGCCUCCUUCUCAGUGAAGCGGCUUCCUUGCAAGCAUCGGUAGCACGCUCCUUUCUUCACCGCCAGCUCAGGCACCGCUUCAGCUACUCCAACCGGGCCGCUCGAUUCGGCGGAGUCUUCAAAUGUGACAAAGGCGGGCCGCCUCCCCUCGCCGUCGAACCCCUCCUCAUCCUCAUCCUCGGUGUAACAGUCAAUGUCAGCCGUGGGGGAGCCGAA
RNAcentral lists this unclassified non-coding RNA (247 nucleotides) under Hevea brasiliensis (rubber tree). Lineage: Eukaryota; Viridiplantae; Streptophyta; Magnoliopsida; Malpighiales; Euphorbiaceae. The record is from RNAcentral.